UUGGUUGUCAGAAAAUACUUAAAAAUUAUGAGCACUUAGAAUUUUAAAACUACACAUCCUCAUAAUAAUAUUAGUAACUUAACAAUUUAUACUCAGAUACUUUUGUUAUCAUCAAAAUCAAGCUAAGGUCAAUAAGAGAGAAAUUUCAAAUUUGGUAGGAGAGGGGUUUGAAAGGAAUUAUCGCUCGAGAAAAAUUAAAAAUGGAAUAAUAAAAUCUUGGAAUAUUUUUAAUUAAGAAAUCCAUCCC
This 247-nucleotide long non-coding RNA is filed under the name Elaeis guineensis (African oil palm). RNAcentral's name for it is "long non-coding RNA (EGUI_LNC038493)". The record is from RNAcentral. Lineage: Eukaryota; Viridiplantae; Streptophyta; Magnoliopsida; Arecales; Arecaceae.